GCCAUCAUUCAGUUGGGUCACUUUAAGAGACUGCCGGUGUUAAACCGGAGGAAGGUGGGGAUGACGUCAAGUCCUCAUGGCCUUUAUGCCCAGGGCUACACACGUGCUACAAUGGGUGGUACAAAGAGAUGCAAUCUCGCAAGAGCAAGCAAACCUCAAAAAAGCCAUCCUCAGUUCGGAUUGGAGUCUGCAACUCGACUCCAUGAAGUCGGAAUCGCUAGUAAUCGCGGAUCAGCACGCCGCGGUGAAUACGUUCCCGGGCCCUU
This 266-nucleotide ribosomal RNA is filed under the name uncultured Syntrophus sp. Its description in RNAcentral is "partial 16S ribosomal RNA". It matches the Rfam family "Bacterial small subunit ribosomal RNA", at positions 1117 to 1382 of the family's 1533-position model. The record is from RNAcentral. Lineage: Bacteria; Pseudomonadati; Thermodesulfobacteriota; Syntrophia; Syntrophales; Syntrophaceae.